RNAcentral lists this ribosomal RNA (466 nucleotides) under uncultured bacterium. Its description in RNAcentral is "partial 16S ribosomal RNA". It matches the Rfam family "Bacterial small subunit ribosomal RNA", at positions 29 to 507 of the family's 1533-position model. The record is from RNAcentral.
ACGAACGCUGGCGGCGUGCUUAACACAUGCAAGUCGAACGGAAAGGCCUCUUUCGGGGGGUACUCGAGUGGCGAACGGGUGAGUAACACGUGAGUAACCUGCCCUUGACUUUGGGAUAACUUCAGGAAACUGGGGCUAAUACCGGAUAGGAGCUCCUGCUGCAUGGUGGGGGUUGGAAAGUUUCGGCGGUUGGGGAUGGACUCGCGGCUUAUCAGCUUGUUGGUGGGGUAGUGGCUUACCAAGGCUUUGACGGGUAGCCGGCCUGAGAGGGUGACCGGCCACAUUGGGACUGAGAUACGGCCCAGACUCCUACGGGAGGCAGCAGCGGGGAAGAUUGCACAAUGGGUGGAAGCCUGAUGCAGCAACGCCGUGUGCGGGAUGACGGCCUUCGGGUUGGAAACCGCUUUCGCUCAUGACGAAGCUUUGUGUGACGGUAGUGGGUAAAGAAGCACCGGCUAACUACGUG